This is a non-coding RNA of Vicia faba (fava bean), 252 nucleotides long. NCBI's taxonomy places the organism in Eukaryota, Viridiplantae, Streptophyta, Magnoliopsida, Fabales, Fabaceae. The record is from the annotation of a GenBank genome assembly.
AUGAGAGGGUAUGCAUCUCUUUUGAAGGUUGCUCAAUUCCCUUGUAUGAGUGUCUCUUCACCAGGUUGGGAAUAUGUGUUCCCUUCUCUAACUUUGAGGUACAAGUCUUAUAAACCUUCAUUAGGGCUCUUCUUCGACCUUUUGUCUGUAGCUCAUACUUCGCCGGAUAGUGCUCAGGAUCAAGGAUUAAUCUACUUUCAUCCUCCAAUACCUUGGUUUAACUCUUUCGCUUCUGGCUGGGGGAUUCUCUAG